Molecule: ribosomal RNA, 754 nt
Filed under: uncultured Actinomyces sp.
Lineage: Bacteria; Bacillati; Actinomycetota; Actinomycetes; Actinomycetales; Actinomycetaceae
Description: bacterial SSU rRNA
Rfam family: Bacterial small subunit ribosomal RNA
Source: RNAcentral
GACGAACGCUGGCGGCGUGCUUAACACAUGCAAGUCGAACGCUGAAGCCUGGCUUUUGUUGGGUGGAUGAGUGGCGAACGGGUGAGUAACACGUGAGUAACCUGCCCUCUUCUUUGGGAUAACGCCCGGAAACGGGUGCUAAUACUGGAUAUUCACUUGCCUUCGCAUGGGGGUGGGUGGAAAGGGUUUUUUCUGGUGGGGGAUGGGCUCGCGGCCUAUCAGCUUGUUGGUGGGGUGAUGGCUUACCAAGGCUUUGACGGGUAGCCGGCCUGAGAGGGUGACCGGUCACAUUGGGACUGAGAUACGGCCCAGACUCCUACGGGAGGCAGCAGUGGGGAAUAUUGCACAAUGGGCGCAAGCCUGAUGCAGCGACGCCGCGUGAGGGAUGGAGGCCUUCGGGUUGUGAACCUCUUUCGCUCAUGGUCAAGCCGCAACUCAUGGUUGUGGUGAGGGUAGUGGGUAAAGAAGCGCCGGCUAACUACGUGCCAGCAGCCGCGGUAAUACGUAGGGCGCGAGCGUUGUCCGGAAUUAUUGGGCGUAAAGGGCUUGUAGGCGGUUGGUCACGUCUGCCGUGAAAUCCUCUGGCUUAACUGGGGGCGUGCGGUGGGUACGGGCUGGCUUGAGUGCGGUAGGGGAGACUGGAACUCCUGGUGUAGCGGUGGAAUGCGCAGAUAUCAGGAAGAACACCGGUGGCGAAGGCGGGUCUCUGGGCCGUUACUGACGCUGAGGAGCGAAAGCGUGGGGAGCGAACAGG